Long non-coding RNA from Plutella xylostella (diamondback moth), 698 nucleotides. RefSeq lists it as uncharacterized. Lineage: Eukaryota; Metazoa; Arthropoda; Insecta; Lepidoptera; Plutellidae. The record is from RefSeq and is a predicted model, not a curated record.
CCUCUACAACAGUCCACUGGCCGCUGCACUGCAACCAAAUUCAGGAACAUAAGUAGCUACUUCUCCAACGAGAAGAGCCAAAUACUACGCACGCCGAAUCGCUGACAGUGACACUGAAUUUCAGUACCUAGCUGGAAAUAUUCGAAAUUUUUGCUUCCACUCGAUUCCACUCGACUGAGUUUGUAAAGUUAAAUGUCGAGAACGUAAAACAGAAUUCACCGUGACAAAGGCGAAAGUUCUGAAAUGGAAAAAUUGCGGCUAAAUUAUGGGUGCGACUGUGAGGGCAAUCAAAUGGGAUUUAUUUGAUUUUAUUCCUACACUUAUCUAAGGCUUUACAUAAUAUAGAACGCUUGUAAAAAAUAAGCGUAGGUUUAGACAAGGCUAUGAAAUAGGGGCCAAAAUAAUUAAGAAAGGCUAUAAAUGGUUAGUCUGACUGUCAUCAUGUCAUCAUCAUAAUUUCCAUCAGGAGGUGAUGUCGAAGCGAGCCUCGGCCAAUCGGAGGAGACCGUGCGUCACAUGUGUGCUGAGUUGCAGGAGUGGAGCUUGACACAUCCCAAAUCUAUGGAGCGGCCAGGGCGAACUAUGUCUGUGACUGAUCGCGUAGAACUUUGUGGGACAUUAUCCAAGAAACACUGACGAAUAAAUGUUUUAGAUUAAUCUAUUUUAUGUUGUGAAUAAACCUUUUUUGAACUCUGUAA